RNAcentral lists this ribosomal RNA (434 nucleotides) under uncultured Coprococcus sp. Its description in RNAcentral is "partial 16S ribosomal RNA". It matches the Rfam family "Bacterial small subunit ribosomal RNA", at positions 341 to 792 of the family's 1533-position model. The record is from RNAcentral. Lineage: Bacteria; Bacillati; Bacillota; Clostridia; Lachnospirales; Lachnospiraceae.
ACGGAAGGCAGCAGUGGGGAAUAUUGCACAAUGGGGGAAACCCUGAUGCAGCGACGCCGCGUGAGUGAUGAAGUAUUUCGGUAUGUAAAGCUCUAUCAGCAGGGAAGAUAAUGACGGUACCUGACUAAGAAGCACCGGCUAAAUACGUGCCAGCAGCCGCGGUAAUACGUAUGGUGCAAGCGUUAUCCGGAUUUACUGGGUGUAAAGGGUGCGUAGGUGGUAUGGCAAGUCAGAAGUGAAAAUCCGGGGCUCAACCCCGGAACUGCUUUUGGAACUGUCUAGCUAGAGUGCAGGAGAGGUAAGCGGAAUUCCUAGUGUAGCGGUGAAAUGCGUAGAUAUUAGGAGGAACACCAGUGGCGAAGGCGGCUUACUGGACUGUAACUGACACUGAGGCUCGAAAGCGUGGGGAGCAAACAGGAUUAGAUACCCUGGUA